This 253-nucleotide ribosomal RNA is filed under the name uncultured bacterium. RNAcentral describes it as "partial 16S ribosomal RNA". It matches the Rfam family "Bacterial small subunit ribosomal RNA", at positions 524 to 776 of the family's 1533-position model. The record is from RNAcentral.
UACGUAGGGGGCAAGCGUUGUCCGGAUUUAUUGGGCGUAAAGAGCGUGUAGGCGGUUCGGUAAGUCUGUCGUGAAAUCCUGAGGCUCAACCUCGGGCGUGCAAUGGAUACUGCCGGGCUAGAGGGUGGUAGAGGCGAGUGGAAUUCCCGGUGUAGCGGUGAAAUGCGCAGAUAUCGGGAGGAACACCAGUAGCGAAGGCGGCUCGCUGGGCCACACCUGACGCUGAGACGCGAAAGCUAGGGGAGCGAACAGG